AUCAAAAGUCUCAGAUACU
This 19-nucleotide microRNA is filed under the name Schistosoma mansoni. RNAcentral describes it as "sma-miR-8442-5p". The record is from miRBase by way of RNAcentral. Lineage: Eukaryota; Metazoa; Platyhelminthes; Trematoda; Strigeidida; Schistosomatidae.